Molecule: long non-coding RNA, 14329 nt
Filed under: Fragaria vesca (wild strawberry)
Lineage: Eukaryota; Viridiplantae; Streptophyta; Magnoliopsida; Rosales; Rosaceae
Description: long non-coding RNA (FVES_LNC005404)
Source: RNAcentral
ACAGUUCAUUAUUUUUCAGCUUUAAUAUUUGGAAUUCUGAGAUUCUGCAUCAGUUAGUUUUUAUCUGAAAACCGUAUAGUUUUGUUUGGAAUUUGAAGUUGGUUUCUUCAUAAGAAUUGUAAUAGACAUCUUAAGGUUCGUUCCAGAAUUUUGAAUCACUUGAAAACGAUUUAUGUAAAUUAAAUUAUGAUUUUUCAAAGUUUAAGGUUUGCAUCAAGAAAUUCUGCAGAUCAGUGUUUCUAAGAUUUUGGACCGGUUACCUUCUUUCGAAAAACUGUACAAAUUGAUUAGUUGUUUUCACUUGGUGUCUUUAUCAAAGUUACAGUAGAUAUCUUAAAGAUCAACUGAGAGUUAGAAUCUCAUGAAAAUAAGUUUUCUAGAAUUAGUUAUGAAUUUUCAAAGUUAUAGCACUGCUGCAUAUUUUUCUGAAACAUCAAACUAUCCUUGGUUUGUAUUCCUAUCGUAUUUUAUAUUUAUUUUUCCCAGUCACACCUUUGACUCAAGAAAAAAAAAUAUAUACAUUCAGGUCAGGGUUUGACAGUUUUCGAUCUGGAUGGGUAGCGUACGGGGUCUUACAAAGGCUUCAUGGGCCAGGGCUUUGUAAUCCGCUAGGUAAUGGGCUUUCGCCUCAUGAUCAAAGGGCUUGUACCUGGGUUUGGGCUUUUUCUUGGGUCUGGGUGUGCAGCCCACAUGAGGUACCUAUCUUAUAUUUCAUAAUUCAUUUCUUUUACUUGUUAUUUUGGGCUUCAGUUUUUUAGCCCAUGUCACCCUUGUGGUGUAUUUUUAUCCCUAUGUGGAUUAUUCUGGCUUGGUCCAACAUGGGAGGACUCGGUUCCUCAUACCGGUGUCAAUCGGUCCUAAUUCUUUCCAGAUAUUUGGUCACCCAACUCCAAAACAACCCAUCAACUACCAUUGUGUACCUUCAUGUGAACUUGUGUGGCUGCACGCUUAAAGUGUAAUUUCACACUUACCUAUUAGAUUAUGGGUGCUCACGCGUGGGUUCAUCAGCCCUUAUUUUCGUUGGUUACGGUUCUUGGAUAUGUUUAUCAGUCCUCUCUCGUCAGCCUCUUCACUUCCAUGACUGGGGUCUCAAUUGUAGAUUGUAUAGUGUUGUUAUGAGGGAGCUAUUCCUAUGUGUAGUGGUUUUCUAUAUUAUUUGUGUAUUGGGAUUUGAUAGGCAUCAGUUACUCGGGCAUCAACGCUCUGAUUCAGCACUCCUCAUUAUCUCACGGUUGCUAGUGGUGAUGGCAACAACAAUGCUAGCAUGCUUGGGUGGUGGGUGUGGUAGAUUAGCUAGUUGGUAUUGUUGCAUUUUCUUAUUUUCUUGUAGGAAAUUCGGUCCAUAGAUUAGCGAGCUAUUGGUCACCUCUCACUCUUUCUACCUUGAUCGAGUUGGAGACUCAUGUUCUUUAUUUUUAGUAGUUUUUCGGUUCGCGUUUGCGAGUGUUGUAAUUAGAUUUGUUCAGUGAUUAAUAAAUUAUUCAUUUCUCUCCAAAAAAGAACAACUACUUUGAAGUCAUCAGAAAACACAAUUGUUUUUGAGAUGAUGGACUUUUCUUUUAAAUGUUUCCUUUCAAAGUUUUCAAACCAUGGGAACUUUUCCUUCAUUUGAAUCUUCUUUGUCUGAUUGUCCUAAAUUUGCAAUCUAAAUUAUUAGCCCUUGAGACACUGUGCAUGCCUACAUUCAAAGUUUUCAAACCAUGGAACUUUUCCUUCAUUUGAAUCUUCUCUGUCUGAUUGUCCUAAUUUGCAAUCUAGAUUAUUAGCCCUUGAGACACUGUCCAUGCAAAUAUGCUUGAUGCUAGUCAUGCUACUAAACAGAAAGGUACAUACAUAUGUCCAAAUAUUGUCAAGAGCGAGAUACAUCGAUCUCUUGGUUCAGGAGUGACACUAAUUAUUCCGCAUUACUAUGACCUAAAGACUACAAUAUUUAUAGAGAUCUGAAGACUACGUAGUAUCAGAAGAACUAGUCCAUGGUGCAUCUGAUGAACAUGAGGCUGUGACUUCCACUUGGGGAGCUCCCUUGUGCAUUGUGAUCAAUCUGGUCUCUCAAGGCUCUUAACUUCAAUUUUUUCAUCACAGAUACUUGGAUCCAGAUCGAACAACUUCAUCCACAGCGAUCCGCCCUUCAAGCAUGCUCACUACUGCAGACAUGACAGGCCUAAGUGCAGCUAUUGGAUUAUUGGCGCACAGUAGAGCUACUUUGAUGGUUCUAAUCGCCUCAUAUCUUCAAUUUAACCUGUGCAUGUUUGCAUAUUUGAUCAAAAGUGAAAGGACCCCUUCAGAGCUAAGGGACCCUUUUAGUACUAUUCCAAAUUCAAAUUCAUACAUUAUUAUUGAUCUGCUCCUCUCUCUAGACAUAGAAAUCAAAGAAGACUUGGAGACUAGUGUCAACCAGGCAUUCUAAAUCCAGAGGAAAAUGAAGAGGAGCUUCAAUUAGUACUAGAUCAAUUAAUAGACGACCAUCCAGCGUGGUUAAGGGAUAGAUGGCUAGUUCAAUUAAGGUGAAGCUUCGUCAGUACAGAGUUCUCGAGUCAUCAAGUAAUUAAUGAGGAGAUAGAUCAAUCAUGCACUACAAACAUUUUCUUCACUAUUGCUAAGUAUAUUUUGUUGUUGAGUCAAAACAUCAGGGCUGUCGAUUGAUCGACAACCCCUGUCUAACGAAUAACAAUGUUAACUUGGGGGUUCAAAUAGAACCAUCAAUCUGUAUACAUGGAACUGAAUCGAAGGAGAGAAAGGUGAAUCUAAUCCCUAAAAGAAUAAGCAAAUGAUAGAACCAAAGGGGAACAUAUUUACAGAAGUUAGUAUGGGAAUGAAACUUGCCAAGGUAGGAGUAUAAAGGGAAGCAAAAACUGUAACUCAGAUCCUAUAAGCAUAAAUUUGAACUUUAGAACAUAAGCUCUUGGACUACUCUAAAUAUCUAAUUAAUCUAUGAAAAUUCUUUUAUGCACGACGUGUAAAUAUAUAAACUGUGCAAUCUUAACCAUUCAUAAAGUUGGUACUUUUCAAAAGAAACAGAGAACAUGAAGUUGACUGUUUACAACAAUGGAGGCAUGGUCGGCCUUGGCUCCCUCUGUAAAAGGUCCAGUAUUCUGGUCAACUAUGGAGACAUACAACUUUGUCCGCGGAAACAACACAGAGUCCUACACGAUGUGCUACGUUGGAGAAGAAAUGUUCUAAUACGAAAACACGAUAGUGUGACAUGGUCGUUUGUUAAUCUUCAAUUUUAACUUGAAUAAACUUUAUAGAGAUCUGACGACGUAGUAGUAUCAGAAGAACCAGUCCAUUGUGCAUCUGAUGAACACACAAGGUUGUGACUUCCACUUGGUGAGCUUCCUUGUGCAUUCUGCUCAGACAGGCUUUCGAAGGCUCUUAACCUCGUCAUUUCAUCACCAUGGAUACUUGGAUCCAAAGCCACCUUAUCCAUUGGGGUUCGCCCUUCAAGCAUACUCACUACUGCAGACAUGAUUCGCCUGAGUGCAGCUGUUGGAUUGGCGCACAGUAGAGCUACUUUGAUAAUUCUAAGCGCCUCUUUCUUAUUGAAAUCGGAUCCCAACCUCGGAUCCACCAGCUCCAGUAAGUUCCCUUUUUGAUGCAAAACAUGGGCCUAAAGAUAAGCGGAGAAAAUGAGUGGAUGAUCACAAACUAGUUACAUGUAUAUGUAGUGAAAGAGUUUUUGAAUCAAGAUUAUUUAUCUUACCCAAUCCAUAAGACAUUGAAUGUUCUCAUUGGAUCCAUAUUUCAUGUUGUUCGAUCUUUCCUGAAAUAGUUUCUAGUGCAACAACUCCAAAACUGUAGAUAUCUGCCUUAUAGGUCAAACAACCCCAUAACGCAUAUUCUGGUGCCAUGUAUCCUCUGCACGACAAUGAAAUUUUGUUUUCACUGACGAUAGUCACUCUAAUACAAAGAUUUUGCCCAUAAAAUUAUAAAUCCAAAAUGGGAUCAUUCCCCAAAUAGAAAUGAAAUUAAGGUAUCAACACUAUAUCAGACAUCAUUACAUGUAAAUUACAUAUUUUGUUGUCAUUGCAGCAUGCAUUUCUGCAGUCAAUAGCAGUUACCAACUUACUGUAACUAACUGAAAAUUUCAAAUAUUUUACUCAGAAAAAGAUUAUAAGUUAUCAUGUUUGUGUCGGAAUUAUCAAGAUUUUAAAGACAGAGAAAACUGAGUGGAAAAUGGCUUAAGCAAAAUUAGCCUCAGCAAUGAAGUUGAUAUAUAUAUAUGACAGAAGCUUACAUAGUUCCAGCAACCCUCGUGCUAAUGUGAGUGUUCUCCUCUUCGUCAAGCUUGGCCAAACCAAAGUCCGAGAUCUUAGCAUUGAGGUCUUGGUCCAGUAACACAUUAGUAGUUUUGAUGUCUCUAUGUACAACCUUCACCGCCGAUUCCUCGUGCAGAUAAGCCAGACCAUUUGCUAUGCCUACGCAUAUUUUCUGCCUUGUAGGCCAGUCCAAGUUUAGGAGAUCAUCCUCUGGACCUGCAAUUGCAUACCUUAUUAUUAGAUCACUUCAGAAUCUUUGAAUGCAUGACUUCAGGAUUAAUUUGUUCCUAAAUUAGAUAAGCUUACCGUACAAAGCGCGAGCAAGGCUAUUGUUUUCCAUGUACUCAUAUACCAACAAUAACUGGUUUGCUUCAAUACAACAUCCAUACAUUCUAACCAGAUUUGGAUGCUGCAAGCAAGAGAUCAUCCCGAUUUCGUUCACAAAUUCACGAUUUCCCUGCUUUGAUUUUGAGGAUAGUUGCUUAACUGCAAUUAUAGUACCAUCCAAUAGUACACCCUGCAUUAAGCAUAGUGAACUAGUUUUCAUUCCUGAUAAAAUUAGGCCAUAUUAUUUAGACAUGAAAAAGACUUAAAAGUAGAAGGAAAAAGAUAACAGGAUAGCUGUUGUAUUAUACCUUGUAGACGGACCCAAAACCACUUCUCCAAUUUUGUUUAUAGGAUCAAAGUUAUUGGUGGCAGUUUUCAUUUGCCUCAAGGUGAAAAUACCAGCUGUCUGUAGAUCCUCUCAGAACUGUCAAAAAACCCAAGUUAGUUAGGAUAAUCAGUAAUGUCUGUGAAAAUUGAUAAAAUUUCUUCGACAUAGUAUCUGAGUGUGUGUUUCCUAGUUCACAUGGAACUUGAAAGAAUAAGGCCAACGUGACAUAUGAAAUUGGCAUAUAUAGUAGAUUUGCAGCACCUUCUUCCCUUGAUGUCUGACUAUCCCCCAGACAGCCUUUCCACCACAGAAUGCCAAAAGUUAAGAACAAAAGGCACAAAACUGAAGCUCCAACCACCAUAUACAUCUCUCCUUUGCUAUCAUGAGUUUUAGGAGGCUUGAACUCUACAGAAAGAAAGAAAAAAAAUAUCUUAAAAGCUGGAAACAGAUGCAGUAACUAAAAUUAAGAAUAAGUUGCACAUAGUACUCUUGUUCUAUGAUAAUCUGGAUACUUAAAUUAUACCAUCUUCGUCUAUAUUUUCCAAUCUAUUGCAAUGAAAAUAUAAAUUUUUCCCUUGGUUCCUUUUCUGUUCUGAAUGAGUACAAAACAAAUGGAUUGUAAAAUGUAAAGCGUCGAAUAAUGUUCUUAAAAACAGAUUUGAAAAGUUUGCAUGCAAUUCAGAAUAUUACCAGGCUCUAUAGAAAUGGCUGAUAUAAGGGGACCAUAGAUUCCUCGUCUAGGGGAUGCUGUUGUGCCUUUUCCAGACCAAUGAAACCGAAUCUCUAGAGAUUUGUUUGUAACUUGAACUGCUUUUGUGUCCACUAUGACUACCUUAUCAACCCCUUGUGCUGCUUUUACAAUGUCAAAAUCCUUCAAUACAAGUUUCUCCUGUAACAAAUGUUAUCAAUGAGAAACAUUGUGUCAGCAUUAAGACUCCAUCAACUGUAUGAUUCAGUACCUGAAUAUAUACAUCAAAUAUCCGUCUUCCAACACUUUGAUAAGAUUUAUUGCCUCGGAUUAUUAUCUCCGCAAAGUGAAGGCUCACAGUAUAGUUUCCUUCUGCUAAGCAGUUUGCAUAAUAUGUGAGAGAGAGAGGACUGAGGCGAGCAUGAGUGUACAACUCAGAGUUUAUCAUUCCAAGUAUUGAUACAUUAUUUGCUAUGUAGUCAUAAGAGGUGAUGUUAGUAUCCCAGAAAAAUCCCGUGCUACUGGUUCCCCAGUUAGGUCUCACCUGGAUAAAUUUUGCUCCACCUCCAAGAUCUGUAUCAUCUUCAAAUUUAACUCCACCAAUCGUGGUCGCCUCUCCACCACAAUUUAUAUGCAAUGAGUACUGAACUGUUGAGUAACAGUAGAUAAAUGAAAACUCAUAGUAGAGAAAAAAAUUGAGUGGAUAAAUGAUAUCGAUUAGUAUCAGAAACCAUUUACUCUAGGUCAUCUGGAAGUUAACUACUGAAUUUGUACAAAGUAUUUACAAAAUUAAAUAAUUAUAAAGCUAACCAUCAUUUGGUUCCAAUCUAUUCAAUCAGAUUUGAUUCUCAGAGAUGUAUUGUUACCUUCUGUACAUGGAUUUUUCUCCAGGCAAGCUCCAGAUAAUCUAGAUUCGUGAUGCAUAAUAAUCAGCUUAUGUAUAAGUCCAUGAAGUGAAUAUAAAAGGAUAAAAAAUUGCUUCAUCUUUGAAGACUAAUAAGUAUGAAGCUUACGAGUUGUUUCGUGCAGAAGAGCUUCUGAAAACGUUCCUGAUACAUGUCAAAUCAGUUGAAACAGAAAAAUUAGAGGUGGAUGAAGACUAUAUAUAGUGUGUGCUUAGUAUGCCAACCCCACAGAAAACAGUUCUUACAGGUAUUCGCUGCAUGUAGGUGGCUCAGAGUCCUUGGAAAAAUUAUUGUAAGAAACAUCUAUCUGGCUGCACACAAAUAUGAUAAAAUUCUAAGCGAGUAUAAAUCCACUGAAAAGUCCGUGUUAGAAUAUUGAUAAAUGUUCAUUUACAUGAUUAAGAAGAUUAGUUAAUGACAGUAAAUCAUAGUGAUUUAAAUGCUUCAAACAGUUCAUUUGGAAAGAAAAAAAACAUACACUAAAAUAUUCUGUCAAACUUUUUAGAAGAAAGUUAAAAAAAUUGUUAAUAAUAAUAGAAUUGUCUACUAGAUACUUCAAAAAAAUGUAAAAAACAACUAAAAAACAAAACAAAUUAAUUUAGGAUAGAAGACAUACUAGCGGUUAUCUUUGCUCUUGAUCCAUUGUGGAAUAGAACCAGUGAGCAAGUUGCUAGUCAGAUACCUAUUCCAAAACAAAUAACAGUCACAUUUUGUUGAACUACAAAUUAAAGGUUGGUUACAUGGGAUAAAUCUAUGCUUAUGUAGAUGUGAAGAUAGUGCGUGCAGAGGAGGCCCCCAGCAUUAUGAGGUAAGCUGGCAUGACAUAUAUGAAAUUCACAUUUCUUACAAGUACUACAAAUUGUCUGGAUCCAGAACCAUAGCUUCAACAUCAGGAAAGCUUCCUUCCAAUCUGUUGAAGCUGAGAUCUCUGUAAGAUAAUGGAUGUUAUAAGAACCGAAAGCAUACUGUAUUGAACCUUAACUGAGAAGAUGAACUGUUUAUCAAAUUGAUAUCGAGAAUGCAUACUGAAUGUGUCUUAUGUACUUGAAUGAGUAGUAGAAUAUAAAGAUUAAGAAGAGGAGUAAAUUACAAUAUAUUCAAUACUUGCAUUGCUUUUAAAUCAGGAAUAGGUCCAGAUAAAUUACAGCUCCUUAGCAUUCUGCAGUAUAACUCAAUAUUAGCAUAGUUGCAGAUAAACAUGGACUAGUCUAAAACUACAGACGGAAAUACAACAUGUUUUAGACUCACAAUCUUCUCAUGAUUUUCAUAUUAGUUAGGUUUGGAAAUACUGAACCCCCUCCGUUUAAGUCGCUGAUCCUUCUGCAUCAAUUGCAUCAUAAAUAACUGUUAGGCGAAACUAAUCCCUUUGAUACGUAGCUAUAGUGUCAAAUAUGAUGUAGAAUAUGGUUUUCAGUGUAACUAUACUGUUACUGCAACGAAGAGCUGGGUGUGGAACUCACAAUUCUGUUAAAUUACUCAAGACAGAAAUGCUAGACGGAAUGGGGCCUUGUAGAACACUAGCUUGGAUCUCUCUGUGAAGAAUUCAACAUGGAUAGAGAUUACACCAAUUCUAUAAUUUCUGAAUGAUAUUAUAAUAUCAAAAAAGCACCUACAAUUUCUUAAGUUGACUCCAACUCGGAAGAAGUCGGGAAGUUGUGAAGUUGUUACUGCUAAUCCUCCUGUAUAAGAUGAUAUUUCAUUAAAUGACAGCUGAACAUGUCUUAAGAAAAAUUGCAAGUCAUAAUGUGAGUGUCACUUACAAUUCUAUUAAUUUGGUCAGAUUUGUGAGAUCCACUGAUAAGACUCCUGUGAGAUUGUUUGCACUAAUGAUGCUGCAGAUCGAUACCAGUGCCAACUUAUCAGUUACUCACUUUGACAAGCUAUUCGAUAUUUUUCAAAUCAAUAAUUAAACGUAAAAAAAUAAAAAAAUAAAUAAAAAACUGAUGAUGGAUGAAAAGGAGGAGCUUACAGAAUCUGCAAGUUGACCAACUUCCCAAUCUCAGGAGGAACAGUUCCAGAAAACAUCUUUGUCUCUAGACUCCUGAAAUAAUAUUGUUUUAUCAAAGCAGGCCAAACCGAAUGAAAAUCAAGAUCUGACAAACACAAAAAGGUAAUUUACAUAGAUAAUGGAAGAGCAUAUACAAGAUUCUUAGAGUGGUAAUGUUUCCUAGGAAGGCAGGGAUUGGUCCAGAUAAGUUGUUCACACUGAGGGACCUGCAGUUUACUCAUUGUCUUAGUUCAAUAUAUAGGCCACUCUUAGCUAAACUUGAAUAUGAAGUUAUUAAGAAGUGCAUUUACAUUAAUUCCAACUUUGUAGAAGCCCAUUCACUCGGUAUAUUACCACUGAUGAAGUUCCUUGAGAAAUCGCUGUAGAGAACAGAAAAGAUAUUACUAAUAACAUUAGCAAUCUAGAAAAAUCAAACAUCAAUUAGCAACGUAUUACAUUUCAAAAUCCUUACAUUUGCAUGUGUAAGGUAAGGUAACUUUGCAAUAGAUGGUGGAAGUACACCAGCAAGAUCUUGCCCUUUAAGAAAACUGCAUUAGAAAAAUGUCAGAGCUAACUGAUGAUAAAAUUCAAACUAUGCGUGAAAAUGGAGUCAUGGUGCCUUGCAUAUCAAUAUCAUUCUCAUAAACAAAGGGAUUCUCGUAAACUGGAAAGGAAAGAAGAGAAAGAAAAAGCAGAUAUACCUAAAUACUUACUCAUACACUUGUUGUGCAUAAAAAACCAGCAAGAUAUUAUAUAGGAAGUAAUGGGAAACACACAUAUCAUCAAUAGGCCUCAAAAUUGCACCAACGUAUUAACGUACAUGUUGAUAACAUGGCAUGAGCCAUCAGGGAAGGAGCAGUUGCAAGUGAGUGUGUUGUUAAAUCGAGUGUUAGCAGAUUUUGGGGUAGUCCAGCUUGUGUGGGUUGUGUCAUUCAAGCACGGGUCUACGCUAAAGUUCCAGUCCUCUUUUCUUAAUUGUGUAGCAAUUUCUCGUAGGGCUUGCACUGCAAACACAAAUCCAACCUUCUCAAUCCCACUAUCUAGGGUAACUUCCAAACAUCUAAUUUCUUUUUCCUUUCAAAAUAUGAAAAUAAAAAUAAAAAUAAAAUUAAACGAAUGCCACAAUUUUUUUUUUUUUUUUUUUUUUUAAUGGAAAUUGGAAUUUAGACGGAAGAGACAGCCCAAAAAUAAUGUGAUCCACAAUAACCCAAACUAGCAUACGAGUCCAACGCCAAUUAAGCAACUACCAUGAGAGAGUAAUGGCCCAAGGUUUUCCACCUUGAAAGUUAGAACCAUCAGACCUCAGGCGACUCAAGCCCUAGACUCCUAGAGUCACAAGCAACCUACAAAUUAGGGACUUGCAUUCGAACAUUACCACUCAAACAAGUGUGUUGUCAUCGCUAUCAAGUUAUUUUUGAAAAANNNNNNNNNNNNNNNNNNNNAGGCUGCCUUUAACUCAUUAAGGUGCCUACGUCUGUGGGUUUUUGUUUUACUAAUUGGAUAUAUGUGUACCUUCAGUAGCAGGAAGACGAGUUGAAAGAGCUUCAACUUUGAUUAUGUCGUCUGAUCCAAAGCUGCAGAGUACUACUAGUAUCAGCACCAAGUUGAGGUUCAUGAUGGCGGUUUUCCGAACACUAUUAUCAGCAACAACUCCAACUCUUAACUUCCAUCUUCAUUUUCUUCUUACAUCGACUUAAUCCGACCAACGUAAGUAACCCCUAGCCUGCACUAUAGCAUUGCUAGCUAUAGCUAUAGCUCGUCGGUUUUUAUAGUGAAUCAUGAUCUAUAUCAUCUCCAGCAAGUAGACAUAUAUAAUACGUAUAAAUGAUUAUAUAAAUGAAGCUAGAGACCCGGCCCGUAGCGUAGACGUCCGGGACUUAUGGAUCAAGGUGACUUUCCUAUAUAUAGUCAUCCAUGCAUAUAUAUAUAUAUAUAUGAGUCAAACCUAGAGUCGGAGACUUGGACUGAUUUGGUUUCCAGUUCAGUUCUACUGAGGUGUGCUGGUCGAUCUCGAUCCGUGGAUUAGGAAACAAUUCACAGAGAAAGACCGACACUGGCUACUUGUAAUACGCAGACUUUAAAGGUCCUAGAGGGGUGAAUAGGCCUUUUUUUGAAUUUUCAUUUACUUCUGUAUCUGAGGAUAGCAAUCACUUGUGCUAUCCCAGAUUCACAGGAUACGAGUUUGCAGAAAGUAAAUUGCAACAAAUAAAGAAACAACACAUGAUGUUUUUUUACUCGCAGAAACCCUGAAUGCAGGGAGAAAAACUGCAUGUCUCUAACUCUUGAGAGACAAAACUUUCCACUAUGUUGAAGUAACUUCUUACAAGAAUAAUAGUUCUAGUGAUACACUACCAUAGUGCUAUCCUUCCUAGUCCCGAACUAGUCUAGACUUAUUCCCUCUCUUAUUUCUAAGCUCUUAUAACAUGGAACACUUUCAGAAGUCUUGUUCGUGAAUUCAACUAACCACUAGCUGAUUCAACCUUGAACGCUUCUUGGGUUGGUUGCACUACACAUCCCUCAUGGUAUGCAACAUGAUAUGAGUUUAUGAAAGAAGUUUUGAGUUCAAGCUCUAAGGUUUACAGUCACGAAAAAGACUUAGAGCAGCAUGAACAAUGCAAGCUAAAACUAGACUCAACAAAGAAAAUUCAAUAAGGCAGUUUUCAACAACCAUUGAGCAAAGCCAAAGCUAUAGAUAUAUAUAGGCAGACAAGACAUCAAAGAUGAUGCAAGCUGACCUCAACAAGUUUCAGAAAGGUUUAGACAGAAGUGUUUGGCUCCCAUACUGAAAGUGAUGUGUCCAAAAAAGAGAUGACACAAGCAAUCUCAAUAAGACAAAGAAACCUUUCCUAAAACAUGAACGAUUCAAAGCAAGGAGCAAAGGGGCUUCAAACCCUCUUACUCAGUCCAUCAGUGGACCUUGACACAGCCGAUAGCGACUGGUCUUUGAACCAUACAUGGACCAGCUAUGCAUAGGAUAACGUAUCAUGAAAUCCUAGCUGGAGCCUUGAGCAUCAAACCAUUUGGUCAGGGGUUGGCAUAAACAAAAGAUCUCAACCCUUAGACUGGUUUGAGUGCCAAGGCACUUCCCACAAACUCAGUUGUCCAUUUGAAUUUGAAAGCCUUAUUAAACUAAUAUAACAGACUCUGAAACUCAGGACAGCAAGAGACUCAGUACUAGGAUAGCAAGCGAAGCUGCUAACCUUUGUGAAAAACAAUGAUAUGCAGAUGCAUGUUUUACCUGAAACCAUAAGGGAUGGUAGUGGCACUUGUUCUUGAUCAAAUAAUAGUGUCUUCAAAGUGUUUUGUAGGAUAAAAUGAUUGCCAACUAUCUUUAUACCUUCAGACUUUACACAAAUAGUUAUUACUAAUUCACUUCUUAUUUUCAAUAGAUUUUACGUUAAAAUAUAUACUGUGUUCAGCGUGUCAUUUAGGUACUAGACUAAUAAAAUGUUAAGCUCACGACCAGUAAAUACUAAAACUAAAUUUCGUGUUCAUCAUUAGAACUGAGGAAGACACAUGCAUUCUGAAAAGUAUCUAAAUUGCAAGUCGCAAUAUGUUAUAACUUUAACAUAAGAAAUACUCAUAAAUCAUAUAAAAUUGAAUUACUUUUUUGUUUUCUGAAAAUUGAGAAGAGAGGUGCUUAUCAUGAAAACUGGAAAAAGAAACCUGCAAUGAAAAUUGAGCUGUACAUGCGAGUCAAUCCAGGCAAUCCUCCAUGGAGUAGAAAACAAUUAAGAUAGAAGAGACGACUCUUGAAAGCUUGGUACGUACGUAGGCUAUGCGAGAUUGCAUAGUCAUUACUCAUUAACUCAUUACUAAUUAGGAAAGUAAAUGAGUUGCAAGUGAUGAUUUAUUAAUCACUAAGGUGCUAUUCAUGUCAGAAACGGAGGUAUAUUUAUUUAUUUAUUUUCGAUGAUAAACGACUUAAAUCACGUGUCUAAAUUUAUAUGGGUCUACCGGUCUACCUCGAUCAGGGAACUUUUUUGUUGUGCGUGUGGGAACUUUCCUUCCAUUUGAAUCUUCUUUGUCUGAAUUGCUCUAAGCUUGCAUUCUAUAUUAAUCGCGACUAGCUACUGCAUUUAUAGGGAUAUGAAGACGUAGUGGUACCAGAAGAACCGGUCCAUGGUGCAUCUGAUGAACGCAUGAGGCUAUGACUUCCACUUGGGGAGCUGAUCCAUGGUGCAUUGUGAUCAAACUGGUUUCUCAAGGCUCUUAACUUCGUCAUUUCAUCAGCAUAGAUAUUUGGAUCCAGAACAACGUCAUCCACAACGAUCCGCCCUUCAAGCAUUCUCACUACUGUAGACAUGACAGGCCUAAGUGCAGCUGUUGGAUUGGCGCACAGCAGAGCUACUUUGAUGGUUCUAAUCGCCUCUUUCUUAUUGAAAUUGGACCCCAACCUCGGAUCCAGCAGCUCCAGUAAGUCCCCUUUUGGUUGCAAAACAAGAGCCUAAAAAUAAGCAGAGAAAAUGAGCGCAUGGAUGAUCACAAACCAGUUACAUAUAUAUAUAUAUAUAUAUAUAUAUAUAUAUAUAUAUAUAUAUAAUAGAAUUUUUGAAUGAAGAUUAUUUAUCUUACCCAAUCCAUAAGAUAUUGAAUAUUCUCAUUCGGUCGAUAUUUCAUGUUGUUCUUUCCUGCAACAGUUUCUAAUGCAGCAACUCUAAAACUGUAGACAUCUGCUUUAUAGGUCAAACAACCCCAUAACACAUAUUCCGGUGCCAUGUAUCCUCUGCACAACAAUUAAUUUUUGUUUUCACAGACAAAUUAUCACAGAGUUUUCUCACAAAAAUAGAUAUGAAAUGUAUCAACACUAUAUAAGCAAGAUAUAUAUUACUUGUAAAUCACACAUUAUGGGCUUUCAACAUGCCAGUUCUGCAGUCAAUUUGAGCUACUAAUAAUUUACUAUCACUAACUGACAACUUCAUUGUAUGGAGACAGAUUAGUUAUCAAUUUUUUGUGCAUCUAAGUCUUUUUAGACAGAAUGUUAGCGGAAAUUAGAUUCUCAAGUGAAGAUUAUGGAAAAUAUAUAUACAACAGAAGCUUACAUAGUUCCAGCAAUCCAGGUGCUUAUGUGAGUGUUCUCCUCUUCAUCAAGCUUGGCCAAACCAAAGUCUGAUAUUUUAGCGUUGAGGUCUCGGUCCAGUAACACAUUUGUAGUUUUGAUGUCUAUGUACAACCUUCACUGCCGAUUCCUCAUGCAAAUAAGCCAAACCUUUCGCUAUGCCUAGGCAUAUUUUCUGCCUCGUAGGCCAGUCCAAUUUUAGGGGAUCAUCCUCUGGACCUGCAAUUAACAGUCAUAUAUACAUACCUAAUGUUGAUCGGUAAACUUUAGCCCUACAUCCCCAGCCAAUAAGCAGAUAUAUAUUUGCUGGUGUUGUACAGCAGAUCGAUUAAUACUAGUAAUGCCCAUCACUACAGUCACUGCUCUAAUGAAGCAACUCCAUACAUACAGAAGCUAAAUAGCUAGACUUUUGGAUGACUUUACUUCCGGCCAAGUCUUUCAUAUCUUCAAUUUAACCUGUGCAUGUUUGCAUUAUUGAUCAAAAGUGAAAGGACCCCUUCAGAGCUAAGGGACCCUUUUAGUACUAUUCCAAAUUCAAAUUCAUACAUUAUUAUUGAUCUGCUCCUCUCUCUAGACAUAGAAAUCAAAGAAGAGUUGGAGACUAGUCAACCAGGCAUUCUAAAUGCAGAGGAAAAUGAAGAGGAGCUUCAAUUAGUAGUAGACCAAUUAAUAUACGACCAUCCAGCAUGGUUAAGGGAUAGAUGGCCAGCCAGUUCAAUUAAGGUGAAGCUUCGUCAGUACAGAGUUCUUCGUCUGUACAGAGUUCUCGAGUCAUCAAG